CCUACGGGUGGCAGCAGUGAGGAAUAUUGGUCAAUGGGCGCGAGCCUGAACCAGCCACGUAGCGUGAAGGAUGACUGCCCUACGGGUUGUAAACUUCUUUUAUAAAGGAAUAAAGUGAGGCACGUGUGCCUUUUUGUCUGUACUUUAUUAAUAAGGAUCGGCUAACUCCGUGCCAGCAGCCGCGGUAAUACGGAGGAUCCGAGCGUUAUCCGGAUUUAUUGGGUUUAACGGGAGCGUAGAGGGGUUGGUAAGUCAGUUGUGAAAGUUUGCGGCUCAACCGUAAAAUUGCAAUUGAUACUGGCAGUCUUGAGUACAGUGGAGGUAGGCGGAAUUCGUGGUGUAGCGGUGAAAUGCUUAGAUAUCACGAAGAACUCCGAUUGCGAAGGCAGCUUACUAAACUGCCACUGACAUUGAUGCUCGAAAGUGUGGGUAGCAAACAGGAUUAGAUACCCUAGUAGUC
RNAcentral lists this ribosomal RNA (460 nucleotides) under uncultured bacterium. RNAcentral describes it as "partial 16S ribosomal RNA". It matches the Rfam family "Bacterial small subunit ribosomal RNA", at positions 338 to 795 of the family's 1533-position model. The record is from RNAcentral.